GACGAACGCUGGCGGCGUGCUUAACACAUGCCAGUCGAACGGAAAGGCCUCUUUCGGGGGGUACUCGAGUGGCGAACGGGUGAGUAACACGUGAGUAACCUGCCCUUGACUUUGGGAUAACUUCAGGAAACUGGGGCUAAUACCGGAUAGGAGCUCCUGCUGCAUGGUGGGGGUUGGAAAGUUUCGGCGGGUGGGGAUGGACUCGCGGCUUAUCAGCUUGUUGGUGGGGUAGUGGCUUACCAAGGCGUUGACGGGUAGCCGGCCUGAGAGGGUGACCGGCCACAGUGGGACUGAGAUACGGCCCAGACGCCUACGGGAGGCAGCAGUGGGGAAUAUUGCACAAUGGGUGGAAGCCUGAUGCAGCAACGCCGUGUGCGGGAUGACGGCCUUCGGGUUGUAAACCGCUUUCGCUCAUGACGAAGCUUUGUGUGACGGUAGUGGGUAAAGAAGCACCGGCUAACUACGUG
RNAcentral lists this ribosomal RNA (467 nucleotides) under uncultured bacterium. RNAcentral's name for it is "partial 16S ribosomal RNA". It matches the Rfam family "Bacterial small subunit ribosomal RNA", at positions 28 to 507 of the family's 1533-position model. The record is from RNAcentral.